This 513-nucleotide ribosomal RNA is filed under the name uncultured bacterium. RNAcentral's name for it is "partial 16S ribosomal RNA". It matches the Rfam family "Bacterial small subunit ribosomal RNA", at positions 28 to 523 of the family's 1533-position model. The record is from RNAcentral.
GACGAACGCUGGCGGCAUGCCUAAUACAUGCAAGUCGAGCGAACAGAUGAAGUGCUUGCACUUCUGACGUUAGCGGCGAACGGGUGAGUAACACGUAAGGAAUCUACCUAUAAGCGGGGGAUAACAUUCGGAAACGGGUGCUAAUACCGCAUAAUAUCUUCUUCCGCAUGGAAGAAGAUUGAAAGACGGCUCUGCUGUCACUUAUAGAUGACCUUGCGGUGCAUUAGUUAGUUGGUGGGGUAACGGCCUACCAAGACGAUGAUGCAUAGCCGACCUGAGAGGGUGAUCGGCCACAUUGGGACUGAGACACGGACCAAACUCCUACGGGAGGCAGCAGUAGGGAAUCUGCCGCAAUGGGCGAAAGCCUGACGGAGCAAUGCCGCGUGAGUGAAGAAGGCCUUCGGGUCGUAAAACUCUGUUAUAAGAGAAGAACAAAUUGUAGAGUAACUGCUACAGUCUUGACGGUAUCUUAUCAGAAAGCCACGGCUAACUACGUGCCAGCAGCCGCCGUAA